RNAcentral lists this long non-coding RNA (424 nucleotides) under Anas platyrhynchos platyrhynchos (common mallard). RNAcentral describes it as "lncRNA (ENSAPLG00000026773.1)". Lineage: Eukaryota; Metazoa; Chordata; Aves; Anseriformes; Anatidae. The record is from RNAcentral.
CCCAUUCACUCCUUUCCUGUGUAUCUCACAACUUUGCCAGAGCUGUAGUUCCCUCAGGUAAACAGUUUCCUUGCCUUCCUUCUUCCAGGGGUAACAGUAAGAUUUUGCUCUUUUUCUAGUGCUUUUUACUUACAGCUUGGUAAGCACCUUCUCAUUUUUCACACAGAAAAAUAGACAUAGAUGACUGAGUGCAUUGGUCUCCAUCAGACUCUGGAAUAGUUAAAUAUCACUUCACCCCCCAACAGAGCCUUAAUCUGAAGGACUUUUCAUCUCCAGAGUACAGCAGUUAGGAAUAGGUGUAGAAAGAGAGAAACUCUGGAGAAACCAAGUACCAACUUCAGUCAACAUCACUUCACCCCCCAACAGAGCCUUAAUCUGAAGGACUUUCCAUCUCCAGAGUACAGCAAUUAGGUAAGAUUUAAUG